CCUACGGGUGGCAGCAGUGAGGACUAUUGGUCAAUGGACGAGAGUCUGAACCAGCCAAGUAGCGUGAAGGAUGACUGCCCUAUGGGUUGUAAACUUCUUUUAUAUGGGAAUAAAAUGUUCCACGUGUGGGAUUUUGUAUGUACCAUAUGAAUAAGGAUCGGCUAACUCCGUGCCAGCCGCCGCGGUAAUACGGAGGAUCCGAGCGUUAUCCGGAUUGAUUGGGUUUAAAGGGAGCGUAGGUGGAUUGUUAAGUCAGUUGUGAAAGUUUGCGGCUCAACCGUAAAAUUGCAGUUGAAACUGGCAGUCUUGAGUACAGUAGAGGUGGGCGGAAUUCGUGGUGUAGCGGUGAAAUGCUUAGAUAUCACGAAGAACUCCGAUUGCGAAGGCAGCUCACUGGACUGCAACUGACACUGAGGCUCGAAAGUGUGGGUAUCAAACAGGAUUAGAUACCCCAGUAGUC
RNAcentral lists this ribosomal RNA (460 nucleotides) under uncultured bacterium. Its description in RNAcentral is "partial 16S ribosomal RNA". It matches the Rfam family "Bacterial small subunit ribosomal RNA", at positions 338 to 795 of the family's 1533-position model. The record is from RNAcentral.